Molecule: long non-coding RNA, 6478 nt
Filed under: Panax ginseng (ginseng)
Lineage: Eukaryota; Viridiplantae; Streptophyta; Magnoliopsida; Apiales; Araliaceae
Description: long non-coding RNA (PGIN_LNC011356)
Source: RNAcentral
UAGGUUUUACGAGGGCAUAAUGAACUGCUUUCCAGCUGCUUAGUCUGAAGUGGAUGGACAGAACAGAAGGUUAAAUGGUUUGCAGAAUUAUUGAAGGUGACAGGAUAGCUUGGGCUGGACUGCGGAUCACGGUCUUUAGAUGCCUUUCUUGGAUCUAUAUAAUGUUGAGAAGAUUAAUGCUUGUGAAGUUAAUAUUUCUUUAUAUGAAUCCGUAGUGUUAAGUGCGAUUUAUUUUGAUGAAUGUUUGAUAAAACCUGGUGAAAGUUGUGGUUUCUGACCUAUUUACUUUUAUUAACUGUACUAUGAUAAUGUAUCCUGGUGUUAUCUAAUAUACGGGCAAUGCUGGUGGUGGAACAUUGGAAACGAGAAAGUAUUGCAGAUGGCGUCUCAGCCUUGACAAGGAAAGGUUGGCUUCUAUAUUCCUGAAGAACGAGAGUUAAAAGGAUCUGGUAAAAUAUUUCUAACCUAGUGUUAAGUUCUUCGUAAGCUGCGAGUGAAACAGAGGAGGAACGGAAAACGGGUGGAGAUGGAGUAAAGAAAUUGUAGCUCAUUUCUUCACUCUGUAUUUUAUAGGUUCAACUUGAAAAGUGUGCUCAGGUCAUGACUUUUAACGUAUUGAUUGAGGUUCCAACAUCGAACGGAUUGCUGCGAAUUUACUUGGAAUUCAAACGUAGUGUAACGUGUUAGCAGUCGUUUUGUCCAAGUUGAAAAUAUAAGGGUUGUAUAUAUAUGCAAUUAGGCACUCACCCAAGUCUCAAGGUCUUGUUACCCAAACAAAAUCAUGUCUGUACAUAGGUCCUUCCCCUUCAACUCCAAUAGUCUAAAAAAAAUAGGUUAGAUUGAACUACAUUCCUGACUAGGUGUUUGGUCAGAGACUUUCCGGAAAAAAGUAAUAGUAAAAACGAUGCCUCCUUUGCAUACAAUCUGUUUGCCCUAUAAGGAAAUGAUAAAAAAAAAUGUUACCCAGUAUAAAUUAAUUAUUUGAAGCAUGAAUCACUCUCCACUCGAAAUUAAAUAUUAAAAAGAAAACAGAGAAUUAGGAGGGGAGGGGAGGAGAGGAGAGAUUCCAAAAUCACUUUCUUGUGGGAAAUAGAUAUUUCUUGAUUUCUACUAAUCAAAAGUGGGAUUUUAGUGCAUCCUUAAUCAGCAUCAACUAACUACUUACAUAACUACAAAAGCAGCCUAUUAUUAUAUUUAUGGGUCAAACUUUGUCAUGUAUUUGGGAUUCAAAAGAUGAUCAUUUAGUCCAUGAAUUCAACCCCAAGUAGUUUCUUUGUCAGAUUCAAUGUUCAAGCAUUUUAGAAAGAAAACCUCUAAAUUAAAAAAAGUUGGAAGUGGGUAGGAACAGAACAANNNNNNNNNNNNNNNNNNNNNNNNNNNNNNNNNNNNNNNNNNNNNNNNNNNNNNNNNNNNNNNNNNNNNNNNNNNNNNNNNNNNNNNNNNNNNNNNNNNNCACACACACACACACAUAUAUAUAUAUAUAUAUAUAUAUAUAUAUAUAUAUAUAAGAAUUGAUUAAGAAAUCAGUGAUAUAUAUAUUCGUGGCAAUUAUUUAUCCAGGCUGGCAAAACCAACACCACUUAGAUUGCAUUAUUAUGUCAUCCCAAAUGUUCAAGUAACUAAAAUUAAAUAGGUUAUAACUACAACUGCUCAUGACUAAUUAAUUAUAGUAAGUUUUAGGUUUGGGUACACAGCUUGAUAUUCCCUCCGUCCACCUAAGAAUUCCAUUUCAAAAGAAUGAUGCGUGUCGUCUUAGGAGUAAUAAUAAUUAAACCUUAAAACGCAUUUGGGUUUAAACUUGAAAACAUUAUAUUAUUAUACUUCCUAUAUUCCAUAAAAUAAAAUCAAAUAAAUAAAUAAAUAAUUAAUUAAUGGGAGUCUCCUAGUAGGUAGGCCUCAGAGAUUGAUCUCUCCUCCACUUCUUACCUCAUUAAAUAUUUUGUACAAAUAAUAAAUGCCAAGCUUCACAUCACACAUGUAUGUAUGUAUGUAUUACAUGCAUGUGCCUGAUCGAAGAUGCCAAAUUGCAUGCUAGCAUAGCACCGAUGGCUACAGGCGUGGGAACAUAUAUAUCUAUCUUCUGGUUAGGGUAAUACUUUCUCUUCCUGUGAAGAUUAUUUCAUGUACGUGUUUCUUCCACCGCCCCAUCUCAUUUUCCUUCCUGCUCAGAUUGAGACUCAUCCGUUGAGAGUUACGUUACUAGUACAAAUCUACAAAUGCCAACUGUUACGCCACAACACAAUUAUGUACUACUCUCUCCGUCCUUAAUUAAUUAUUUAACGUUUUAAAGGUAAACACACGAAUUAAGAUAAUAAUUGAAAAACAUUAAAUAUAGUACUCAAUUGUCUAUAAUACCCUUAAAUCUUUUGUUGGAAUAAAGAGAGCUUUGUUAGGAUAAGGAGAGAGAAAGAGUUUAAAGUAUCAAAAAAAAUUGGCAGAGUAAUUAAUGAGGGAUAAUUUUGGAAAAAUUGUUAUUAAUUCUCCUAGAUUUUAACAAACGUCAAAUAAUUAGGGACAAAUGAAAAAUUCUAAAACGUCAAAUAAUUAGAGACGGAAGGAGUAUGUUUCUACAUUUGGAAACAAAGGGAAAGAAAUAAUUAAGCUCAACAGAAUAAUAUACAUAUAUAUAUAUAUAUAUAUAUAUAUAUAUAUCAAAAACUAAAUAAAAACUAGUGUACUUCUUGUGUGGAAGGAAAAUAUUUAUAUCCUAGCUAUCCUAUGGUCCAUACAGAUACUUCUUCAUCAAGGGCAGGCAGUAAAUUGAUCACCUGCCAAUUCUUUAUGAUUACAAUCAUGAUAAUUUAAGAGGCUGAUCAAAAACAGCAGCAGCUGCUAUAGAAUUUGGUGAAACGAAUGGUACUACUUUUCCUUGUUUAUUAUGUGAACAGGCCAGGCCAGGAUGUAGUAGUAAUUAAUUACAAAGAUUCAAUCCAUCUUGAUAUGAUAUGAAGUGAAGAUGCUUCCCAAAGUAGACUACAAAUUUCUAUUAAAAAAUACUCUGUUUUGAAAUUAUAUAUACUCCAUCCACAGCAACCGGUUGUUGGGAGCAACCUCUUUUGNNNNNNNNNNNNNNNNNNNNNNNNNNNNNNNNNNNNNNNNNNNNNNNNNNNNNNNNNNNNNNNNNNNNNNNNNNNNNNNNNNNNNNNNNNNNNNNNNNNNNNNNNNNNNNNNNNNNNNNNNNNNNNNNNNNNNNNNNNNNNNNNNNNNNNNNNNNNNNNNNNNNNNNNNNNNNNNNNNNNNNNNNNNNNNNNNCCUUUGUUGGGUGUUGAGGGGGUAGGUCAGGGCAAUGCGUCUUUAGUGGCUUCUCAAGUCUCCAUGGACUCUGUUUCUCCUACUGGCUUGGGAUUGAAAGAACGAAAUUACCUUGGAUUGUCAGAUUGUUCCUCAGUAGACAGCUCUCCGGCGUUGAGCAUAUCUGAUGAGAGUAAGAGUAAUCUAAAUCUCAAGGCUACAGAACUGAGGCUUGGUCUUCCUGGAUCUCAGUCCGCAGAACGAGAUCCAGAAUUUAAUCUGCUGGUCUUGGGAAAACUUGAUGAGAAACCCUUGUUUCCUUUGAUUCCUUCUAAGGAUGGUAUCUGCUGCUUAUCGCAGAAGACUGUUGUUUCGGGUAACAAAAGGGGGUUCUCUGACACUAUGGACGGCUUCUCAGAAAUAAAAGGUCCGUCAUUUACUGAAGGUAAUUGGAUGUUUAAUAUGCCCAGAUCUGAUUCUGAAACUCCAAAACCUGUUGGACAUGGGAAGUUUUUGGGCAAUGCUAGUAUUAAUGUAAUGCUAUCGUCUGGGUCAGCUGUGACCCAUUCUGCUGGAAUGAAAGAGGUUCCUCUAAAAGCAUCCCAAGGGGGGCAUCAUUUGAAAACUGGAACUAAUAACAAAAUGAACGGUUCUAACAACAAUAGUAGUGCACCUGCUGCCAAGUAAGAGCAAAUUAUUUACUUCUAGGGGUUUUGACCCAUAUAAACAUGGGAAAAGAGGAAUAAACUGUGUUGAUACAGUGUAGCACUCCGGAGCACUUUGCUUACUAAUCUUAUUUUCUCCAUAGGGCACAGGUAGUUGGAUGGCCUCCUAUAAGAUCGUUUAGGAAGAAUACACUGGCUACCAGUUCAAAGAACAAUGAAGAAGUUGAUGGAAAACCAGGGCCUGGUGCCCUAUUUGUUAAGGUCAGCAUGGAUGGCGCUCCUUAUCUGAGGAAGGUAGAUCUGAGAAUAUAUUCUACAUAUCAAGAACUUUCAUCUGCUCUUGAGAAAAUGUUCAGCUGUUUUACUAUUGGUGAGCUAUAUUUGAUACAGUUUUAGUGGUAUUUUGGUUAAAUAUUGGUUUCAGUUCUGUAUGAAGUUUAGCUAAUAUCAAAAUUACUACCCGUUUACCAUGGAUUAGAAUUAACGGUUUUAAAACAAUUCCAGGUCAAUGCGGAUCUCAGAGUACUUCUGGCAGAGAAAUGUUGAGUGAGAGCAAGUUGAGAGAUCUUUUGCAUGGGUCAGAAUAUGUGCUCACGUACGAGGAUAAGGAUGGUGACUGGAUGCUUGUGGGAGAUGUUCCAUGGGAGUAAGAUCACAUCCAUUUCACUUGUUUAGUUUGGUUCUUGAUUCUCUCUCUUUCCUACAAUAGUAAAUAAUUGUGAUACCGAAAUGUUCUAUUAUCUGUUGUCUUGCAUAAAGUGAAGGAGUAGAGAUUUGAUUAAACUCUAGCAGUUCUCAUUGAUAGGGAUAUGAGUUUAUUAAGUUGUCAUCUUUUUGCACUAAAUGUUGUGCCAUAUAAAGCCAUUGUUUAAGCUGUGCAAAGUGAAUCUAUACACCUGUCCAGUGAUCAUUGAUGUUAGUCUUGAUUUUCUGGGCAUGCACAUGCACAAAUUAUGUGGAGAACUCGCAGUACACAUGCUUUCCGUUUCUUCGUCAUUUGGCUAAAGUUUGGUUUAUCAUGUAAGAUUUCACGCUAAACAGCAUUUGAAAUGAGAAGUUUGAAACUUAAUUAAGCUCUCACGUUAAUAAGAUGGUUUCAUUUCAAAACUUGCAUGUUAUAUCAAUCUUUUCUUUUUUUGAAAUAAGCUUGUUAAGUGUAAGAAGGAAUAUCAUAGGUAAGUAAUUGCUACAAUAUGCACUGAAAAUAAAGCAGCGUGUUUGUAAAUUUCACACUGAUGAACUUAUCUUUGCACAUGUAGUACAAAUAUUUGACCCUAAAUAUCGGUCAAAUGUACCUUUACAGGAAAUUAACCUUGAUAUCAAACCAGAUGUCAGUAAUACAUGGGUUCUAUUUAUUAUUUGCUUGUUGGUUUUACAAGUACAUUGUUAUGUGAUCAGGUGAUUAACUAUGUUACCUGGAAUUGACUUCCAUAUUUUAUAUGCUUUUCUCUCUAGAUAGUAGCUCUUUGUAGUCUGUUCAUUUCAUAUAAACCCUGGAUAUAUUGAAGGUGUCCAACCUAUCCCAACUUGAUCAAAAUUAAUGUCAAUAUGAGAUGCUGGGUUGAGGUUCAUUAGAACUGCCUGAUGACUGUAAACUGGACUAGAUGUAAGCUGUUUAGUCCUCUCUUUUCACUGUGCUAAUUAUCUUGCUGGUUUUCAUAGGAUGUUUAUCGAUUCUUGCAAGAGGCUGAAAAUCAUGAAGGGCUCUGAUGCUAUUGGAUUAGGUGUGUACUAUUUGUUAAUCCAAUUUUUUACCAUUUAUACAAAAUCUCUGCAUCGAGACUAGGAAAAAGGAUUGCAUGUGCUUGUAUAUAUACUGUAACUGGUUGUAUCAUGGAGAUGUCAAUUGCACCAUAGAUGUUUAAAUUGUGGUAAUUGAUGUAGUAAUGUGUUUUGGUCUCUACUUGCUAGAAACUAAAUUUGUUGCGAGUAGUUUUGAGAUUUACCCUGCUUCUGAAUUGUAACUUCAGUGUCUGAAAAUUAUCUAUAUUUUGAAUUUGCAUUUGCAUUUUCUUCUGUUUCUUUUGCUAAACAAGUGAGAAAAGCUGUUGCCUCAUUUUCCAUCAUGAUGACAAGACAAAGAAUUAUAAACAUUUUGUUGUUGGUUUUGGUCCACAGCUCCCAGGGCCAUGGAAAAAUCCAAAAACAGAAACUAGGUUUUAUGAGGGCAUAAUGAACUGCUUUCCAGCUGCUUAGUCUGAAGUGGAUGGACAGAACAGAAGGUUAAAUGGUUUGCAGAAUUAUUGAAGGUGACAGGAUAGCUUGGGCUGGAUUGCGGAUCACGGUCUUAGAUGCCUUUCUUGGCCUUAUCUAUAUGUUUGAUUGCAUGGAGAAGUUGACAUGUAUAAUGUUGUGAAGAUUAAUGCUUGUAAAGUUAUUAUUUCUUUAUAUGAAUCCGAAGUGUUAAGUGCGAUUUAUUUUGAUGAAUGUGAUAAAACCUGGUGAAAGUUGUGGUUUCUGACCUAUUUAUUUUUAUUAACUGUACUAUGAUAAUGUAUCCCGGUGUUAUCUAAUAUACGGGCAAUGCUGGUGGAACAUUGCAAACGAGAAAGUAUUGCAGAUGGCGUCUCACAGCCUUGGCA